UUCGAUGCAACGCGAAGAACCUUACCUGGUCUUGACAUCCACAGAACUUUCCAGAGAUGGAUUGGUGCCUUCGGGAACUGUGAGACAGGUGCUGCAUGGCUGUCGUCAGCUCGUGUUGUGAAAUGUUGGGUUAAGUCCCGCAACGAGCGCAACCCUUAUCCUUUGUUGCCAGCGGUUAGGCCGGGAACUCAAAGGAGACUGCCAGUGAUAAACUGGAGGAAGGUGGGGAUGACGUCAAGUCAUCAUGGCCCUUACGACCAGGGCUACACACGUGCUACAAUGGCGCAUACAAAGAGAAGCGACCUCGCGAGAGCAAGCGGACCUCAUAAAGUGCGUCGUAGUCCGGAUUGGAGU
Molecule: ribosomal RNA, 354 nt
Filed under: Salmonella enterica subsp. enterica serovar Enteritidis str. 3402
Lineage: Bacteria; Pseudomonadati; Pseudomonadota; Gammaproteobacteria; Enterobacterales; Enterobacteriaceae
Description: bacterial SSU rRNA
Rfam family: Bacterial small subunit ribosomal RNA
Source: RNAcentral